This 73-nucleotide transfer RNA is filed under the name Chitinophagales bacterium. Its description in RNAcentral is "tRNA-Arg". It matches the Rfam family "tRNA". From Rfam's summary of the family: Transfer RNA (tRNA) molecules are approximately 80 nucleotides in length. Their secondary structure includes four short double-helical elements and three loops (D, anti-codon, and T loops). Lineage: Bacteria; Pseudomonadati; Bacteroidota; Chitinophagia; Chitinophagales. The record is from RNAcentral.
GGUCCCAUAGCUCAAUGGAUAGAGCAACUACCUUCUAAGUAGUAGGUUACAGGUUCGAGCCCUGUUGGGAUCA